Molecule: ribosomal RNA, 305 nt
Filed under: uncultured bacterium
Lineage: Bacteria
Description: partial 16S ribosomal RNA
Rfam family: Bacterial small subunit ribosomal RNA
Source: RNAcentral
ACAGCAGUAGCCGCGGGAAUACAGAGGGUGCAAGCGUUAAUCGGAAUUACUGGGCGUAAAGCGCGCGUAGGUGGUUUGUUAAGUUGGAUGUGAAAUCCCCGGGCUCAACCUGGGAACUGCAUCCAAAACUGGCAAGCUAGAGUAUGGUAGAGGGUGGUGGAAUUUCCUGUGUAGCGGUGAAAUGCGUAGAUAUAGGAAGGAACACCAGUGGCGAAGGCGACCACCUGGACUGAUACUGACACUGAGGUGCGAAAGCGUGGGGAGCAAACAGGAUUAGAUACCCCUGUAGUCCCUGUCUCUUAUAC